Molecule: ribosomal RNA, 253 nt
Filed under: uncultured bacterium
Lineage: Bacteria
Description: partial 16S ribosomal RNA
Rfam family: Bacterial small subunit ribosomal RNA
Source: RNAcentral
AACGUAGGACACGAGCGUUAUCCGGAGUUACUGGGCGUAAAGGGCGUGUAGGUGGUGCGAUAAGACUGGUGUGAAAGCCUUCGGCUUAACCGAGGGAGGACACUGGUGACUGUCGGACUUGAGGCAGAUAGAGGGGUGUAGAAUUCCGGGUGUAGUGGUGAAAUGCGUAGAGAUCCGGAGGAAUACCAGAGGCGAAGGCGGCACCCUGGGUCUGACCUGACACUGAUCCGCGACAGCAUGGGGAGCGAACGGG